Molecule: long non-coding RNA, 1074 nt
Filed under: Lupinus angustifolius (narrow-leaved blue lupine)
Lineage: Eukaryota; Viridiplantae; Streptophyta; Magnoliopsida; Fabales; Fabaceae
Description: long non-coding RNA (LANG_LNC000432)
Source: RNAcentral
UGGAAGGAGAUUAUCACUUCUUUUGCGAAAGACCAUUCCCUUAAAUGAAAAGCAGCACAUAAGCUCGCUCUACUACUUCGAAUACGAGAAAGAGAAUAGAAGACAAAGAGAUUCAUUACGGAUUGGAAUGCUAACGAUUGAUUCCCUUUUUUUUGGGCUCUUACACAGAAAUGAAAGACUGAAAAGAGGAAGAUAAAGCUACUCUGACUCUGAAAGUAAGCAACAAACUAGAAUCACUUCAAUAAGUAAUAAAAUUACUUGCUUCGGAAGGAGGUGCACGGGCUAAGGGAAAAGCCAAUGCCCCGGAUACGACCGGAAUUUACUUGGACUACUUCCAAGGUUUAACAUAACGACUUCGACUUCCAAUCCUUAAAAAAUAAAGAAGGGAAUAUCAGACUGCCUAGCCUACUUCAGCUACAAUCAAAACAACCUUCACCCACAAAGAAAAGCACUUACUUACCAAGCCAGGAAGAAAGAAAAUCUUUAAUGCCAGCAGUAAAAAGGAAAGAAAGAGGACGGACUUCAAGGGAAGAGAGAAGCUAAAGAAGGUUUCUUGCUUCCCGAUUGCGGGGCAGGAAGAAAGGAAGGGACUCAAAAGGCAAAUAGUCACGAAAGAUAAAGAGACAGGAUAGAAAAGAAAUUCGAGGGGAAUCCUGGCUACAUCUCUGACUUUAAAGAGCCUGACCUCUAUUACCACUACUCUUUUAGCACCAAGUCAAGACCAGGCAUCAGAAAGAGCAGGAGGAGAGCAGCAAAAGAGAAGGAAAGUAACUUUUAAAUCAUACCAUAAUCCAAAGAUAGAUAGGAAUGAAAAGCCCUAGCACUUAGAGAGGUUGAGAACGAAUCACUUUCUAGAAUAGAAAAAAAAUAACCCCGGCAGCUACACUCACUCAGCAAGGCUCUAUCUUCUCUUCUUUCUUUGGUCAUCUGUCCGCUUGUUGGAAAGGCUCUUUCUCUUUGCUGUCUCAAUCGAGCCCUUUUUAGUUAGGGUCAGAUCAAUAGAGAAGUCAGGCACGAAGAGGCUCCAAUAAGCCUCAACCUUCUUUCUACUCUUAAAUCAGACGGCUCGGCCGG